GACGAACGCUGGCGGCGUGCUUAACACAUGCAAGUCGAACGGAAAGGCCCUGCUUUUGUGGGGUGCUCGAGUGGCGAACGGGUGAGUAACAAGUGAGUAACCUGCCCUUGACUUUGGGAUAACUUCAGGAAACUGGGGCUAAUACCGGAUAGGAGCUCCUGCUGCAUGGUGGGGGUUGGAAAGUUUCGGCGGUUGGGGAUGGACUCGCGGCUUAUCAGCUUGUUGGUGGGGUGGUGGCUUACCAAGGCUUUGACGGGUAGCCGGCCUGGGAGGGUGACCGGCCACAUGGGGACGGGGAUACGGCCCAGACUCCUACGGGAGGCAGCAGUGGGGAAUAUUGCACAAUGGGCGGAAGCCUGAUGCAGCAACGCCGCGUGCGGGAUGACGGCCUUCGGGUUGUAAACCGCUUUCGCCUGUGACGAAGCGUGAGUGACGGUAAUGGGUAAAGAAGCACCGGCUAACUACGUG
Molecule: ribosomal RNA, 468 nt
Filed under: uncultured bacterium
Lineage: Bacteria
Description: partial 16S ribosomal RNA
Rfam family: Bacterial small subunit ribosomal RNA
Source: RNAcentral